This 274-nucleotide ribosomal RNA is filed under the name uncultured bacterium. RNAcentral's name for it is "partial 16S ribosomal RNA". It matches the Rfam family "Bacterial small subunit ribosomal RNA", at positions 523 to 796 of the family's 1533-position model. The record is from RNAcentral.
AUACGGAGGGGGCUAGCGUUGUUCGGAAUUACUGGGCGUAAAGCGCGCGUAGGCGGAUUGAUCAGUCAGGGGUGAAAUCCCGAGGCUUAACCUCGGAACUGCCUCUGAUACUGUCAAUCUUGAGUUCGAGAGAGGUGAGUGGAAUUCCUAGUGUAGAGGUGAAAUUCGUAGAUAUUAGGAAGAACACCAGUGGCGAAGGCGGCUCACUGGCUCGAUACUGACGCUGAGGUGCGAAAGCGUGGGGAGCAAACAGGAUUAGAAACCCCAGUAGUCC